Molecule: ribosomal RNA, 99 nt
Filed under: Acanthosepion pharaonis
Lineage: Eukaryota; Metazoa; Mollusca; Cephalopoda; Sepiida; Sepiidae
Source: RNAcentral
CUUGAAAUAUCGGUUCUCGUACGACCACCGAAGUUAAGCAAUGUUGAGUUUGGCCAGUGCCUAGAUUGGUAACCGCUUGGGAAUAUCAGGUGCUGUAAG